CGUUUUUUUUUUCUAGAUGAUUUUUCAGAAACACUGAUAACUCGCAGCGUGCCACAUCCUCAUUUUAACAGAGACGACUUCCAAAAUAACAUAGGACUCUUUCAACACGAGGAUGCUUUACAUCAUCUAGUUUCAAACGUGUAUAUGAGCGAUGUCUCCUACUUGAACGAUUACAAGCUUAGGAUCAAUGCAAACGAUUUAAAAUUGAUCAGUUGGGAAGACUCGUGGCAUCUACAUGGUCACGUAGUACAAAAUCCCGUUCAGCCGUUGUCGCCGGAAAAAUGUAAGCUGUACGUUUCUCCAGUCGUGGAUAUUAGAGAUUACGAACACUGCGUAACAAUGAUGGAGAGACGGAAUGUGUCUAUAGCCCCUGGAGCGGUAUUGGCGAUGAAAUCCGAGUUCGUCGGGAUAUUUACGUGGGGUGACUCCAAAGGCAGGGGGCUCCCUUUCGUAAUACUGGACUUAGCACACUAUAAAGACUGGAUCACAUACAUUGUCUCUGCAAGGUAAACGUCGCAAUAUUUUACCUUUUUUUUUAAUUAACAUUGUUUGCUGUGAAAUGUGAAUAAGUAAAGAUUGAGCGUGCCAAAUAAAGGAGGAAUCGUGGAGUAUUGAGAAAAUUGUUUUCUAUUCCGCAUAAAUACCACUUUAAAUUGUAGCAAUACGUAGCCGUGUUUUCAAUCCUAUUUAAUUUAUAAUAUUUAUAUAAAAAAUCUAGAUUUCCGUGUAAAGUUUUAGAA
Cydia strobilella is the source of this 740-nucleotide long non-coding RNA. RefSeq lists it as uncharacterized. The record is from RefSeq and is a predicted model, not a curated record. The transcript is spliced from 4 exons. Lineage: Eukaryota; Metazoa; Arthropoda; Insecta; Lepidoptera; Tortricidae.